RNAcentral lists this ribosomal RNA (283 nucleotides) under Skeletonema costatum. Its description in RNAcentral is "partial Bacterial large subunit ribosomal RNA". It matches the Rfam family "Bacterial large subunit ribosomal RNA", at positions 816 to 1098 of the family's 2925-position model. The record is from RNAcentral. Lineage: Eukaryota; Bacillariophyta; Thalassiosirophyceae; Thalassiosirales; Thalassiosiraceae.
UAGGGGUGAAAUGCCAAGCGAACCCGGAGAUAGCUGGUUCUCCCCGAAAUGCAUUUAGGUGCAGCCUUGGACGAGACCACCAUGGAGGUAGCGCACUGGUUCGGCGAUGGGGCUUCCCGCUUACUGACCCGUAUCAAACGUCGAAUGCCGUGGAGGACAAUCCAGGAGUGAGACUGUGGGAGCUAAGUUCCAUGGUCGAGAGGGAAACAGCCCAGACCGCCAGCUAAGGUCCCCAAGUACAUGCUAAGUGGGCAAGGUAGUCGUGGCGCGCAGACAACCAGGA